UACGGAGGGGGCUAGCGUUGUUCGGAAUUACUGGGCGUAAAGCGCACGUAGGCGGCUUUGUAAGUUAGAGGUGAAAGCCCAGGGCUCAACCCUGGAAUUGCCUUUAAGACUGCAUCGCUUGAACAUCGGAGAGGUAAGUGGAAUUCCGAGUGUAGAGGUGAAAUUCGUAGAUAUCGGGAGGAACACCAGUGGCGAAGGCGGCGAUCUGGGAAGAUACUGACGCUGAGGUGCGAAAGCGUGGGGAGCAAACAGG
Molecule: ribosomal RNA, 253 nt
Filed under: uncultured bacterium
Lineage: Bacteria
Description: partial 16S ribosomal RNA
Rfam family: Bacterial small subunit ribosomal RNA
Source: RNAcentral